RNAcentral lists this ribosomal RNA (460 nucleotides) under uncultured bacterium. Its description in RNAcentral is "partial 16S ribosomal RNA". It matches the Rfam family "Bacterial small subunit ribosomal RNA", at positions 28 to 507 of the family's 1533-position model. The record is from RNAcentral.
GACGAACGCUGGCGGCGUGCUUAACACAUGCAAGUCGAGCGGUAAGGUCACUUCGGGGGUACACGAGCGGCGAACGGGGGAGUAACACGUGGGUGACCUGCCCUCAGCUCUGGGAUAAGCCUGGGAAACUGGGUCUAAUACCGGAUAUGACUUUUACUUUCAUGGGGUUUGGUGGAAAGUUCUUUCGGCUGGGGAUGUGACUGCGGCCUAUGAGCUGGUUGGUGGGGUGAUGGCCUACCAAGGCGACGACGGGUAGCAGGCCUAAGAGGGCGACCGGCCACACGGGGAGGGAGACAGCGCCCGGACUCCUACGGGAAGAGGCGGUGGGCUAUAUUGGCAAAGCGGCGGAAGCCAUAAGCAUCUACGCCGCGUAGAGGUUGACGGCCUGCGGGGUGCAAAAGUCUUUCGACCCCGACAAAUUUGGACGGUAGGGAAAGAAGAAGCACCGGCCAACUACGUG